This 402-nucleotide ribosomal RNA is filed under the name bacterium. Its description in RNAcentral is "partial 16S ribosomal RNA". It matches the Rfam family "Bacterial small subunit ribosomal RNA", at positions 355 to 776 of the family's 1533-position model. The record is from RNAcentral.
UGGGGAAUUUUGCACAAUGGGGGAAACCCAGAUGCAGCGACGCCGCGUGAUUUAGAAGGCCUUCGGGUUGUAAAAAUCUUUUCUAUGGGAAGAAAAUGACAGUACCAUAGGAAUAAGGACCGGCUAAUUACGUGCCAGCAGCCGCGGUAAUACGUAAGGUCCGAGCGUUGUCCGGAAUCAUUGGGCGUAAAGGGUACGUAGGCGGGUAAGCAAGUUAGAAGUGAAAUCCUAUAGCUCAACUAUAGUAAGCUUUUAAAACUGCUCAUCUUGAGGUAUGGAAGGGAAAGUGGAAUUCCUAGUGUAGCGGUGAAAUGCGCAGAUAUUAGGAGGAAUACCGGUGGCGAAGGCGACUUUCUGGCCAUAACCUGACGCUGAGGUACGAAAGCGUGGGUAGCAAACAGG